This 229-nucleotide unclassified non-coding RNA is filed under the name Hevea brasiliensis (rubber tree). The record is from RNAcentral. Lineage: Eukaryota; Viridiplantae; Streptophyta; Magnoliopsida; Malpighiales; Euphorbiaceae.
CUUUGCUUUGGUUUAAGAAAUGGAUCAUCCUUAACGAAAAGUAAGUUGGCGGCAACCACGGCAGCGACGAUCCCGCCCAAGAUUGCCACUGGGCCCGUCAGGAGACUCCAUUUUCUGUAUAUCAUCUUCUCCCUCUGCAGUUUUUACUCUUUCCGGUCCUCCUCCGAAUGCCGAAAGAACAAACCACUGCAAUCUGCAAUCACAACUUUCUUCCUUCUAUGGAUUGGGC